Molecule: ribosomal RNA, 429 nt
Filed under: Chloroflexota bacterium
Lineage: Bacteria; Bacillati; Chloroflexota
Description: Chloroflexi bacterium partial 16S ribosomal RNA
Rfam family: Bacterial small subunit ribosomal RNA
Source: RNAcentral
UGGGGAAUAUUGCACAAUGGGCGCAAGCCUGAUGCAGCCAUGCUGCGUGUGUGAAGAAGGCCUUCGGGUUGUAAAGCACUUUCAGCGGGGAGGAAGGCGAUAAGGUUAAUAACCUUGUCGAUUGACGUUACCCGCAGAAGAAGCACCGGCUAACUCCGUGACAGCAGCCGCGGUAAUACGGAGGGUGCAAGCGUUAAUCGGAAUUACUGGGCGUAAAGCGCACGCAGGCGGUCUGUCAAGUCGGUUGUGAAAUCCCCGGGCUCAACCUGGGAACUGCAUUGGAAACUGGCAGACUAGAGUCUUGUAGGGGGGGGUAGAAUUCCAGGUGUAGCGGUGAAAUGCGAAGAGAACUAGAGGACUACCGGUGGCGAAGGCAGCCCCAGGGACAAAGACUGACGCUCAGGUGCGAAAGCGUGGGGAGCAAACAGG